Molecule: ribosomal RNA, 468 nt
Filed under: uncultured bacterium
Lineage: Bacteria
Description: partial 16S ribosomal RNA
Rfam family: Bacterial small subunit ribosomal RNA
Source: RNAcentral
GACGAACGCUGGCGGCGUGCUUAACACAUGCAAGUCGAACGGAAAGGCCCUGCUUUUGUGGGGUGCCCGAGUGGCGAACGGGUGAGUAACACGUGAGUAACCUGCCCUUGACUUUGGGAUAACUUCAGGAAACUGGGGCUAAUACCGGAUAGGAGCUCCUGCUGCAUGGUGGGGGUUGGAAAGUUUCGGCGGUAGGGGAUGGACUCGCGGCUUAUCAGCUUGUUGGUGGGGUAGUGGCUUACCAAGGCUUUGACGGGUAGCCGGCCUGAGAGGGUGACCGGCCACAUUGGGACUGAGAUACGGCCCAGACUCCUACGGGAGGCAGCAGUGGGGAAUAUUGCACAAUGGGCGGAAGCCUGAUGCAGCAACGCCGCGUGCGGGAUGACGGCCUUCGGGUUGUAAACCGCUUUCGCCUGUGACGAAGCGUGAGUGACGGUAAUGGGUAAAGAAGCACCGGCUAACUACGUG